UACGUAGGGUGCAAGCGUUGUCCGGAAUUAUUGGGCGUAAAGAGCUCGUAGGCGGUUUGUCGCGUCUGCUGUGAAAACCCGAGGCUCAACCUCGGGCCUGCAGUGGGUACGGGCGGACUGGAGUACGUGCAGGGAGACUGGAAUUCCGUGGUGAUAGCGGUGAAAUGCGCAGACUAUCAGGAGGAACACCGGUGGCGAAGGCGGGAUCUCUGG
RNAcentral lists this ribosomal RNA (213 nucleotides) under uncultured bacterium. RNAcentral describes it as "partial 16S ribosomal RNA". It matches the Rfam family "Bacterial small subunit ribosomal RNA", at positions 524 to 732 of the family's 1533-position model. The record is from RNAcentral.